Molecule: long non-coding RNA, 1085 nt
Organism: Bos taurus (domestic cattle)
Lineage: Eukaryota; Metazoa; Chordata; Mammalia; Artiodactyla; Bovidae
Source: Ensembl
AAAAUCAUAGACUAUGAGAAACUUUGCUGUUUGAAGUAAUUUCAGAGACAAUGUAACAGCUCCUCUUAAAGAAUCUGGGCCAUGUGUGUCACUUUGACACAGAGAAACUGCCUCGAUUUUCAGUGCAGGGGCAGAGAUUCAGAUAAGAGUUUUCCAGAUGCAGCAUUCCACAUUUAUCUUAACUUUGUAGUUUCUAAGGAAACAGGACCUGAGUCAGCUUUUCAACAAUGCUGGUAGUUAGACUGUAAUGUUCCUGUCCCUCUGAGCUUAAGGUCACAAGGGCAGGAGUGGGCACGGCGACUGUGCUAGACCCACUUCCCCAGCCUCAAGAGGCCCCAGGUUGUUUGAGUUAGAGGGGACUCUGGCAGUGACUCACCCUUACCCCACAUCCCAUAAAGAAGGAAACUGAAGGCCAAAGAGAGAGAGAGGAUUCAACUCAUUCAAGGACUUCCGCAGCCCUGCUUUGAUCUUCUUACCUGCUGAGCAGAGUUUGCUGUGAUCAUCAAUCCAAAGAAUUUUGGUGUGGUGGUGAAGCCCCAGUGUCUGUAUUGGAACACCAUGUGAUCUGGAGCCUGGAACUAUUGAAAAUAAAGGAAGAAAAAGUUUGAACAAAGGUGUGACGUCAUUGGAAACAAUCUCUGGAUGAAGCCUAAAAGAUGUCACUGUAUUUGGUCAUUAGAGCACAAAAUUCUUCUGCAACUUAGAAACAAAAGAGAAUCUGCAAGUUGAGAAAGUAGGUGAUAAAGGCCCUUUGUUGAUAUCUUGUAGAGAAUGGAAGAUAAAUGUUAAUAGAGAAAAGAAAUUUGUUUAGAGUAAAAAUUACAUUGUAUUUGAUAGGAAAAAACUGAAGAAGUUAAAGGGAAAGAGGUGAAGAAAGGCAUGAAGCUAAGAAAAGGAUACAGGCAAAGGAUAAAACACAGCUGUUGAGACCAGGCUUAGAAUUAUCAUUUUAACAAAUAAAAUCCUCUCCUUUGAAUGAAUACUGUUUGGUUAAAAUAAUUCAAUUGUCCUGACAAAUUUUUCAAACAUAAGUGCUGAGGACAAUUUUAUUUCUAUAUGGGAAAUUAAGUACCAUCUUCAAACAC